UGCCUACUGAACUGGUAUCAGU
This 22-nucleotide microRNA is filed under the name Salmo salar (Atlantic salmon). Its description in RNAcentral is "ssa-miR-24a-5p". Its record names the gene ssa-miR-24a-5p. Lineage: Eukaryota; Metazoa; Chordata; Actinopteri; Salmoniformes; Salmonidae. The record is from miRBase by way of RNAcentral. RNAcentral also lists the same sequence under 5 other names.